RNAcentral lists this ribosomal RNA (468 nucleotides) under uncultured bacterium. RNAcentral's name for it is "partial 16S ribosomal RNA". It matches the Rfam family "Bacterial small subunit ribosomal RNA", at positions 28 to 507 of the family's 1533-position model. The record is from RNAcentral.
GACGAACGCUGGCGGCGUGCUUAACACAUGCAAGUCGAACGGAAAGGCCCUGCUGGUGUGGGGUGCUCGAGUGGCGAACGGGUGAGUAACACGUGAGUAACCUGCCCUUGACUUUGGGAUAACUUCAGGAAACUGGGGCUAAUACCGGAUAGGAGCUCCUGCUGCAUGGUGGGGGUUGGAAAGUUUCGGCGGUUGGGGAUGGACUCGCGGCUUAUCAGCUUGUUGGUGGGGUAGUGGCUUACCAAGGCUUUGACGGGUGGCCGGCCUGAGAGGGUGACCGGCCACAUUGGGACUGAGCUACGGCCCAGACUCCUACGGGAGGCAGCAGUGGGGAAUAUUGCACGAUGGGCGGAAGCCUGAUGCAGCAACGCCGCGUGCUGGAUGACGGCCUUCGGGUUGUAAACCGCUUUCGCCUGUGACGAAGCGUGAGUGACGGUAAUGGGUAAAGAAGCACCGGCUAACUCCGUG